CCAGGCCCCGCCUCCAGACCCCGGGCCCCGCCCCCUUCCUGGCCGCGCGGCUUGCCCCGCCUCCUCCGCCCACCGCCGGGGUCAAACUGGGUCCAUCGGCCCGGAGGGCGGGGAUGCUCGCUUUCGAUUGGCCUCAAAGGUGCCCGCCCCGCCUACUCCCCGCCCCUUCCUUGGCAGGGAAGAGGCGCGUGCGCCGUGGCUGGGGAGGGUAGCGGUUACGCUGAGCGCCGGCGUUGCUGGUCCCCGACCCCUGGUACCCGGGCAUCGUUUUUUCAUCCCGGGCAGCUGGGACCCCGGGAUGACCUAAGGAACAAGGAUUCAGACGCAGACUCCACGCCCACAGGUCGUGCUAGGAAGGAGACGGGACCAGAUAUUGACUGCUGGUUUAAAGUAUAUGCUAAUCCUACAGUCAUUCACUCAGCAACUCCUGAUGGCACCUGUUUUGCACCAGGCGCUGAGCUGAACCCUGGAAGCAGGAAGGAUUGCCAGAUAGUUGG
This 497-nucleotide long non-coding RNA is filed under the name Homo sapiens (human). RNAcentral describes it as "HSALNT0291759". Lineage: Eukaryota; Metazoa; Chordata; Mammalia; Primates; Hominidae. The record is from RNAcentral.